GAACGAGAAAGUGGGGCAACCCAUGAGUACAGUGGCGUACGGGUGAGUAACACGUGGAUGAUCUACCUUCUGGUGAGGAAUAACCCUGGGAAACCGGGGCUAAUACCGCAUAAGCUCGAGAGAGGAAAGUCGCAAGACGCUGGAAGAGGAGUCCGCGGCCGAUUAGCUAGUUGGCAGGGUAAAAGCCUACCAAGGCAAAGAUCGGUAGCCGGCCUGAGAGGGCACACGGCCACACUGGCACUGAAACACGGGCCAGACUCCUACGGGAGGCAGCAGUGGGGAAUCUUGCACAAUGGGGGAAACCCUGAUGCAGCGACGCCGCGUGAGCGAUGAAGCCCUUCGGGGUGUAAAGCUCUUUCGGCAGGGACGAUAAUGACGGUACCUGCAGAAGCAGCUGCGGCUAACUACGUGCCAGCAGCCGCGGUAAUACGUAGGCAGCAAGCGUUGUUCGGAGUUACUGGGCGUAAAGGGUGUGUACGCGGUUGCUUGAGUUUGGUGUGAAAUCUCCCG
RNAcentral lists this ribosomal RNA (510 nucleotides) under uncultured bacterium. RNAcentral describes it as "bacterial SSU rRNA". It matches the Rfam family "Bacterial small subunit ribosomal RNA", at positions 64 to 606 of the family's 1533-position model. The record is from RNAcentral.